GACGAACGCUGGCGGCGUGCUUAACACAUGCAAGUCGAACGGAAAGGCCCUGCUUUUGUGGGGUGCUCGGGUGGCGAACGGGUGAGUAACACGUGAGUAACCUGCCCUUGACUUUGGGAUAACUUCAGGAAACUAGGGCUAAUACCGGAUAGGAGCUCCUGCUGCAUGGUGGGGGUUGGAAAGUUUCGGCGGUUGGGGAUGGACUCGCGGCUUAUCAGCUUGUUGGUGGGGUAGUGGCUUACCAAGGCUUUGACGGGUAGCCGGCCUGAGAGGGUGACCGGCCACAUUGGGACUGAGAUACGGCCCAGACUCCUACGGGAGGCAGCAGUGGGGAAUAUUGCACAAUGGGCGGAAGCCUGAUGCAGCAACGCCGCGUGCGGGAUGACGGCCUUCGGGUUGUAAACCGCUUUCGCCUGUGACGAAGCGUGAGUGACGGUAAUGGGUAAAGAAGCACCGGCUAACUACGUG
Molecule: ribosomal RNA, 468 nt
Filed under: uncultured bacterium
Lineage: Bacteria
Description: partial 16S ribosomal RNA
Rfam family: Bacterial small subunit ribosomal RNA
Source: RNAcentral